GACGUGACUUCAGAGUUUGAUCCUGGCUCAGGAUGAACGCUGGCGGCGUGCCUAACACAUGCAAGUCGAACGGACUUGCUUAACGGAAGUUUUCGGAUGGAAGUUAAGUAAGUUAGUGGCGGACGGGUGAGUAACGCGUGGGUAACCUGCCUUGUACAGGGGGAUAACACUUAGAAAUAGGUGCUAAUACCGCAUAAGCGCACAGUUUCGCAUGGAACAGUGUGAAAAACUCCGGUGGUACAAGAUGGACCCGCGUCUGAUUAGCUAGUUGGUGGGGUAACGGCCUACCAAGGCGACGAUCAGUAGCCGGCCUGAGAGGGUGACCGGCCACAUUGGGACUGAGACACGGCCCAA
This 354-nucleotide ribosomal RNA is filed under the name uncultured bacterium. RNAcentral's name for it is "bacterial SSU rRNA". It matches the Rfam family "Bacterial small subunit ribosomal RNA", at positions 1 to 334 of the family's 1533-position model. The record is from RNAcentral.